CGUUUCUCCCCGUGCAGGCGUGGCUAGGAACGGCGAUGGCUCUCGGUCCGCUGAGCUAUAGCGCCACUUGCAUGCGGAAUUAAUUUAAACUGGUUGAAAAGCCUCAUUGUGGUAUUAUUGGAUCUUAAAAUACCUAAUGAAGAAACUUUGAUAAAAGUAUCAUUGAUACCUAUAAAACCAAGUAUGAACGGAGGAGGAUGAAGAAUGGAGCGAGGGGGAAGCCGAGCGGAAGUCCAAGUCCCCGGCAGGAUCGGAGGCGAGCGAAGGCGCAAAGGGAGCGGCGAGCCCUCGGCCCUCGGCGGCGUCGCCCGUCCCCGGGGCGGACCCUGCGGGGGCGGCCGAGCCCUCGGAGUCCCCACCUGCGCCCACGCCGCCGCCGCCCAGAGUCCGGCUCAACCCGAGCCUGGCCACGGACCCCGCUCUGAGGCUCAAGACCGAGCAGGAGGAGCCCAUGGAGGUGGAUCAAGCGGAGGCGGAGGAGCAACCGCCCCCGCCCGCCGCCGCCACCCCCAAAAGCGGCGGACCCACCCCCACGCCUACGCCUACACCCCCGCCCACGCACAUACCCACCAGCGCCGAGUUGGAAUACAUCGCAUCUCUUCCGCCAGUUCUCCAGACCGUUAUCGCCUCGGGUCGGUUUUUUUGUCCGCCGGAGCUAGCCCCUGCGAGGCCCACCACGCCACGUGCCUCGAAACACGACGCCCCAUCCCCGGCUGAAAAUCGACAAGGUCCUGUUUUUAUGUGUUCACCAUGCGGUAUUCGAUAUAGUUCUCUGAGCACUUUGGAAGCCCACCAACAUAUUACUGCUCGCAUCGUCGAACAGCGAAUAAAGGUACGUACCAUCAGAAAACUUUAAAUCCUCUUUGUUUGGAUAAUACGAACACCUAGAAAAAUCACAAAAUUAUUUCAAAAUAAAAUCGGGAAGCCACGGAGAAUUCAUGAAAUUUUGACCGUGGUCAAGACGUUUUUCAAUCUUGAGUAUCUACCGCAGCGGGAACCUUGACGUGGUAUCGUUUGAUUGAAUAGGUUGGUUCAAAUACAUUUUUACUUUUUUUUAGACUUUUUGUCCUUACCGUAGACCCUUAUCGAGAGCUAAAAUUCAAGGAAAAUCAAGAUGUAAAUUUUCAUUAACAUUUUUUACUGUCAGAACUAAGUAGAC
RNAcentral lists this long non-coding RNA (1159 nucleotides) under Bemisia tabaci. RNAcentral's name for it is "lncRNA ENSSSA1NGG012395". The record is from RNAcentral. Lineage: Eukaryota; Metazoa; Arthropoda; Insecta; Hemiptera; Aleyrodidae.